UAUGUUUUAGUAUAUGAUGUACAGAAAUUUUUGAUAUUUCAAGAGAUGGUUUAAUUCCAUUAGAUGUAA
Molecule: transfer RNA, 69 nt
Filed under: Anthaxia chinensis
Lineage: Eukaryota; Metazoa; Arthropoda; Insecta; Coleoptera; Buprestidae
Description: tRNA-Gln
Source: RNAcentral